ACUAAGCCAUGCGAGUCGAGAGGGUUCGGCCCUCGGCGAACUGCUCAGUAACACGUGGAUAAUCUAACCUUAGGUGGAGCAUAACCUCGGGAAACUGAGAAUAAUACUCCAUAGAUCUUUGAGGCUGGAAUGCGCUUAGAUUGAAAGCUCCGGCGCCUAAGGAUGAGUCUGCGGACUAUCAGGUAGUAGUUAGGGUAACGACCUGACUAGCCUACGACGGAUACGGGUUGUGAGAGCAAUAACCCGGAGAUGAUAUCUGAGACACGAUAUCAGGCCCUACGGGGCGCAGCAGGCGCGAAACCUUCACAAUGUGCGAAAGCGCGAUGAGGGGAUCCCAAGUGCUUGCACGUAAGUGUAAGCUGUUUCUUUGUUUAAAAAGCAGAGAGAGUAAGGGCUGGGUAAGACGGGUGCCAGCCGCCGCGGUAAUACCUGCAGCUCAAGUGGUGGCCGCUAUUAUUGGGCCUAAAACGUCCGUAGCCGGCUGAGUAAGUGCCUGGGUAAAUCGUGUGGCUUAACCAUACGAAUUCCGGGUAGACUGCUCAGCUUGAGACCGGAAGAAGUUAGAGGUACUCCUGGGGUAGGGGUGAAAUCCUGUAAUCCUGGGGGGACCACCAGUGGCGAAGGCGUCUAACUAGGACGGGUCUGACGGUGAGGGACGAAACCCUGGGGCGCAAACCGGAUUAGAUACCCGGGUAGUCCAGGGCGCAAACGCUGCUUGCUUGAUGUUAGCUGGGCUCCGAGCUCGGCUAGUGUCGGAGAGAAGUUGUUAAGCAAGCUGCCUGGGAAGUACGAUCGCAAGAUUGAAACUUAAAGGAAUUGGCGGGGGAGCACAGCAACGGGUGGAGCGUGCGGUUUAAUUGGAUUCAACG
This 869-nucleotide ribosomal RNA is filed under the name uncultured archaeon. RNAcentral describes it as "bacterial SSU rRNA". It matches the Rfam family "Archaeal small subunit ribosomal RNA", at positions 43 to 917 of the family's 1478-position model. The record is from RNAcentral.